RNAcentral lists this unclassified non-coding RNA (345 nucleotides) under soil metagenome. RNAcentral's name for it is "partial contains 5.8S ribosomal RNA, internal transcribed spacer 2, and large subunit ribosomal RNA". The stretch from base 1 to 120 matches the Rfam family "5.8S ribosomal RNA", at positions 35 to 154 of the family's 154-position model. The record is from RNAcentral.
GAUGAAGAACGUAGCGAAAUGCGAUACGUAAUGUGAAUUGCAGAAUUCAGUGAAUCAUCGAGUCUUUGAACGCACAUUGCGCCCCCUGGUAUUCCGGGGGGCAUGCCUGUCCGAGCGUCAUUGCUGCCCUCAAGCACGGCUUGUGUGUUGGGCCUCCGUCCUCCUCCCGGUGGACGGGCCCGAAAGGCAGCGGCGGCACCGCGUCCGGUCCUCGAGCGUAUGGGGCUUCGUCACCCGCUCUUGUAGGCCCGGCCGGCGCUUGCCGACACAUCAAUCUUUUUUCCAGGUUGACCUCGGAUCAGGUAGGGAUACCCGCUGAACUUAAGCAUAUCAAUAAGCGGAGGA